CUUGCUUCUCUUGAGAGCGGCGGACGGGUGAGUAAUGCCUAGGAAUCUGCCUGGUAGUGGGGGAUAACGUUCGGAAACGGACGCUAAUACCGCAUACGUCCUACGGGAGAAAGCAGGGGACCUUCGGGCCUUGCGCUAUCAGAUGAGCCUAGGUCGGAUUAGCUAGUUGGUGGGGUAAUGGCUCACCAAGGCGACGAUCCGUAACUGGUCUGAGAGGAUGAUCAGUCACACUGGAACUGAGACACGGUCCAGACUCCUACGGGAGGCAGCAGUGGGGAAUAUUGGACAAUGGGCGAAAGCCUGAUCCAGCCAUGCCGCGUGUGUGAAGAAGGUCUUCGGAUUGUAAAGCACUUUAAGUUGGGAGGAAGGGCAGUAAAUUAAUACUUUGCUGUUUUGACGUUACCGACAGAAUAAGCACCGGCUAACUCUGUGCCAGCAGCCGCGGUAAUACAGAGGGUGCAAGCGUUAAUCGGAAUUACUGGGCGUAAAGCGCGCGUAGGUGGUUCGUUAAGUUGGAUGUGAAAUCCCCGGGCUCAACCUGGGAACUGCAUUCAAAACUGACGAGCUAGAGUAUGGUAGAGGGUGGUGGAAUUUCCUGUGUAGCGGUGAAAUGCGUAGAUAUAGGAAGGAACACCAGUGGCGAAGGCGACCACCUGGACUGAUACUGACACUGAGGUGCGAAAGC
Molecule: ribosomal RNA, 685 nt
Filed under: uncultured bacterium
Lineage: Bacteria
Description: bacterial SSU rRNA
Rfam family: Bacterial small subunit ribosomal RNA
Source: RNAcentral